Molecule: long non-coding RNA, 274 nt
Filed under: Elaeis guineensis (African oil palm)
Lineage: Eukaryota; Viridiplantae; Streptophyta; Magnoliopsida; Arecales; Arecaceae
Description: long non-coding RNA (EGUI_LNC060330)
Source: RNAcentral
GGAUUUAAGAUGCUGAGUCCUUAAGUCUAUGACCAUAGCAUUGUGGUUGAUGAAAAAAAAUUUUCAUAGAAUCACAUAUGGACUCGAGCUGAUUGAAUCUAUUAUAUGACCGAUGUUGAGGUUUGACGAUUCAUCUAUGAUUUGUCAUCUGGUUAGGACUCACGAUAAAGGGACUGUAUCAUACGCUAACUGCACCUAGAGGUUUAUCUUUUAUUCUGCUGGGUUGUCACUACAUACUGCUAGGUGUCAUUGAUGGAUUAUGAGACUCAUGAGG